UUUGAUCAUGGCUCAGAUUGAACGCUGGCGGCAUGCCUUACACAUGCAAGUCGAACGGUAACAGGUCUUCGGACGCUGACGAGUGGCGAACGGGUGAGUAAUACAUCGGAACGUGCCCAGUCGUGGGGGAUAACUACUCGAAAGAGUAGCUAAUACCGCAUACGAUCUGAGGAUGAAAGCGGGGGACCUUCGGGCCUCGCGCGAUUGGAGCGGCCGAUGGCAGAUUAGGUAGUUGGUGGGAUAAAAGCUUACCAAGCCGACGAUCUGUAGCUGGUCUGAGAGGACGACCAGCCACACUGGGACUGAGACACGGCCCAGACUCCUACGGGAGGCAGCAGUGGGGAAUUUUGGACAAUGGGCGAAAGCCUGAUCCAGCAAUGCCGCGUGCAGGAUGAAGGCCUUCGGGUUGUAAACUGCUUUUGUACGGAACGAAAAAGCUCCUUCUAAUACAGGGGGCCCAUGACGGUACCGUAAGAAUAAGCACCGGCUAACUACGUGCCAGCAGCCGCGGUAAUACGUAGGGUGCGAGCGUUAAUCGGAAUUACUGGGCGUAAAGCGUGCGCAGGCGGUUAUGUAAGACAGAUGUGAAAUCCCCGGGCUCAACCUGGGAACUGCAUUUGUGACUGCAUGGCUAGAGUACGGUAGAGGGGGAUGGAAUUCCGCGUGUAGCAGUGAAAUGCGUAGAUAUGCGGAGGAACACCGAUGGCGAAGGCAAUACCCCGGACCUGUACUGACGCUCAUGCACGAAAGC
This 751-nucleotide ribosomal RNA is filed under the name Delftia sp. 159. RNAcentral's name for it is "bacterial SSU rRNA". It matches the Rfam family "Bacterial small subunit ribosomal RNA", at positions 12 to 760 of the family's 1533-position model. Lineage: Bacteria; Pseudomonadati; Pseudomonadota; Betaproteobacteria; Burkholderiales; Comamonadaceae. The record is from RNAcentral.